This 2902-nucleotide ribosomal RNA is filed under the name Klebsiella quasipneumoniae. RNAcentral's name for it is "23S ribosomal RNA". It matches the Rfam family "Bacterial large subunit ribosomal RNA". The record is from RNAcentral. Lineage: Bacteria; Pseudomonadati; Pseudomonadota; Gammaproteobacteria; Enterobacterales; Enterobacteriaceae.
GGUUAAGCGACUAAGCGUACACGGUGGAUGCCCUGGCAGUCAGAGGCGAUGAAGGACGUGCUAAUCUGCGAAAAGCGUCGGUAAGGUGAUAUGAACCGUUAUAGCCGGCGAUGUCCGAAUGGGGAAACCCAGUGUGAUUCGUCACACUAUCGUUAACUGAAUACAUAGGUUAACGAGGCGAACCGGGGGAACUGAAACAUCUAAGUACCCCGAGGAAAAGAAAUCAACCGAGAUUCCCCCAGUAGCGGCGAGCGAACGGGGAGCAGCCCAGAGUCUGAAUCAGCUUGUGUGUUAGUGGAACGGUCUGGAAAGUCCGACGGUACAGGGUGAUAGUCCCGUACACCAAAAUGCACAGGCUGUGAACUCGAAGAGUAGGGCGGGACACGUGGUAUCCUGUCUGAAUAUGGGGGGACCAUCCUCCAAGGCUAAAUACUCCUGACUGACCGAUAGUGAACCAGUACCGUGAGGGAAAGGCGAAAAGAACCCCGGCGAGGGGAGUGAAAAAGAACCUGAAACCGUGUACGUACAAGCAGUGGGAGCACCUUCGGGUGUGACUGCGUACCUUUUGUAUAAUGGGUCAGCGACUUAUAUUCUGUAGCAAGGUUAACCGUAUAGGGGAGCCGCAGGGAAACCGAGUCUUAACUGGGCGUUAAGUUGCAGGGUAUAGACCCGAAACCCGGUGAUCUAGCCAUGGGCAGGUUGAAGGUUGGGUAACACUAACUGGAGGACCGAACCGACUAAUGUUGAAAAAUUAGCGGAUGACUUGUGGCUGGGGGUGAAAGGCCAAUCAAACCGGGAGAUAGCUGGUUCUCCCCGAAAGCUAUUUAGGUAGCGCCUCGUGAACUCAUCUUCGGGGGUAGAGCACUGUUUCGGCUAGGGGGUCAUCCCGACUUACCAACCCGAUGCAAACUACGAAUACCGAAGAAUGUUAUCACGGGAGACACACGGCGGGUGCUAACGUCCGUCGUGAAGAGGGAAACAACCCAGACCGCCAGCUAAGGUCCCAAAGUCAUGGUUAAGUGGGAAACGAUGUGGGAAGGCACAGACAGCCAGGAUGUUGGCUUAGAAGCAGCCAUCAUUUAAAGAAAGCGUAAUAGCUCACUGGUCGAGUCGGCCUGCGCGGAAGAUGUAACGGGGCUAAACCAUGCACCGAAGCUGCGGCAGCGACACGAUGUGUUGUUGGGUAGGGGAGCGUUCUGUAAGCCUGCGAAGGUGACCUGUGAGGGUUGCUGGAGGUAUCAGAAGUGCGAAUGCUGACAUAAGUAACGAUAAAGCGGGUGAAAAGCCCGCUCGCCGGAAGACCAAGGGUUCCUGUCCAACGUUAAUCGGGGCAGGGUGAGUCGACCCCUAAGGCGAGGCCGAAAGGCGUAGUCGAUGGGAAACAGGUUAAUAUUCCUGUACUUGGUGUUACUGCGAAGGGGGGACGGAGAAGGCUAUGUUAGCCGGGCGACGGUUGUCCCGGUUUAAGCAUGUAGGCUGGUUAUCCAGGCAAAUCCGGAUAAUCAAGGCUGAGGUGUGAUGACGAGGCACUACGGUGCUGAAGUAACAAAUGCCCUGCUUCCAGGAAAAGCCUCUAAGCAUCAGGUAACACGAAAUCGUACCCCAAACCGACACAGGUGGUCAGGUAGAGAAUACCAAGGCGCUUGAGAGAACUCGGGUGAAGGAACUAGGCAAAAUGGUGCCGUAACUUCGGGAGAAGGCACGCUGGUGUGUAGGUGAAGUCCCUGCGGAUGGAGCUGAGACCAGUCGAAGAUACCAGCUGGCUGCAACUGUUUAUUAAAAACACAGCACUGUGCAAACACGAAAGUGGACGUAUACGGUGUGACGCCUGCCCGGUGCCGGAAGGUUAAUUGAUGGGGUUAUCCGUAAGGAGAAGCUCUUGAUCGAAGCCCCGGUAAACGGCGGCCGUAACUAUAACGGUCCUAAGGUAGCGAAAUUCCUUGUCGGGUAAGUUCCGACCUGCACGAAUGGCGUAAUGAUGGCCAGGCUGUCUCCACCCGAGACUCAGUGAAAUUGAACUCGCUGUGAAGAUGCAGUGUACCCGCGGCAAGACGGAAAGACCCCGUGAACCUUUACUAUAGCUUGACACUGAACAUUGAGCCUUGAUGUGUAGGAUAGGUGGGAGGCUUUGAAGCGUGGACGCCAGUCUGCGUGGAGCCAACCUUGAAAUACCACCCUUUAAUGUUUGAUGUUCUAACGUUGGCCCCUUAUCGGGGUUGCGGACAGUGUCUGGUGGGUAGUUUGACUGGGGCGGUCUCCUCCCAAAGCGUAACGGAGGAGCACGAAGGUUAGCUAAUCCUGGUCGGACAUCAGGAGGUUAGUGCAAUGGCAUAAGCUAGCUUGACUGCGAGCGUGACGGCGCGAGCAGGUGCGAAAGCAGGUCAUAGUGAUCCGGUGGUUCUGAAUGGAAGGGCCAUCGCUCAACGGAUAAAAGGUACUCCGGGGAUAACAGGCUGAUACCGCCCAAGAGUUCAUAUCGACGGCGGUGUUUGGCACCUCGAUGUCGGCUCAUCACAUCCUGGGGCUGAAGUAGGUCCCAAGGGUAUGGCUGUUCGCCAUUUAAAGUGGUACGCGAGCUGGGUUUAGAACGUCGUGAGACAGUUCGGUCCCUAUCUGCCGUGGGCGCUGGAGAAUUGAGGGGGGCUGCUCCUAGUACGAGAGGACCGGAGUGGACGCAUCACUGGUGUUCGGGUUGUCAUGCCAAUGGCACUGCCCGGUAGCUAAAUGCGGAAGAGAUAAGUGCUGAAAGCAUCUAAGCACGAAACUUGCCCCGAGAUGAGUUCUCCCUGAGACUUUAAGUCUCCUGAAGGAACGUUGAAGACGAUGACGUUGAUAGGCCGGGUGUGUAAGCGCAGCGAUGCGUUGAGCUAACCGGUACUAAUGAACCGUGAGGCUUAACCUU